AUUGAACGCUGGCGGCAUGCCUUACACAUGCAAGUCGAACGGUAACAGGUCUUCGGAUGCUGACGAGUGGCGAACGGGUGAGUAAUACAUCGGAACGUGCCUAGUAGUGGGGGAUAACUACUCGAAAGAGUGGCUAAUACCGCAUGAGAUCUACGGAUGAAAGCAGGGGAUCGCAAGACCUUGUGCUACUAGAGCGGCCGAUGGCAGAUUAGGUAGUUGGUGGGAUAAAAGCGUACCAAGCCGACGAUCUGUAGCUGGUCUGAGAGGACGAUCAGCCGCACUGGGACUGAGACACGGCCCAGACGCCUACGGGAGGCAGCAGUGGGGAAUGUUGGACAAUGGGCGAAAGCCUGAUCCAGCAAUGCCGCGUGCAGGAUGAAGGCCUUCGGGUUGUAAACUGCUUUUGUACGGAACGAAAAGCCCCGGGUUAAUACCCUGGGGUCAUGACGGUACCGUAAGAAUAAGCACCGGCUAACUACGUGCCAGCCGCCGCGGUAA
Molecule: ribosomal RNA, 498 nt
Filed under: uncultured bacterium
Lineage: Bacteria
Description: partial 16S ribosomal RNA
Rfam family: Bacterial small subunit ribosomal RNA
Source: RNAcentral